This 265-nucleotide ribosomal RNA is filed under the name uncultured prokaryote. Its description in RNAcentral is "partial 16S ribosomal RNA". It matches the Rfam family "Bacterial small subunit ribosomal RNA", at positions 524 to 788 of the family's 1533-position model. The record is from RNAcentral.
UACGUAGGGUGCGAGCGUUGUCCGGAUUUAUUGGGCGUAAAGAGCUCGUAGGCGGUUUGUCGCGUCGGCCGUGAAAACCUACAGCUUAACUGUGGGCUUGCGGUCGAUACGGGCAGACUUGAGUUCGGCAGGGGAGACUGGAAUUCCUGGUGUAGCGGUGAAAUGCGCAGAUAUCAGGAGGAACACCGGUGGCGAAGGCAGGUCUCUGGGCCACUACUGACGCUGAGAAGCGAAAGCAUGGGGAGCGAACAGGAUUAGAUACCCU